Rosa chinensis is the source of this 604-nucleotide long non-coding RNA. RefSeq lists it as uncharacterized. Lineage: Eukaryota; Viridiplantae; Streptophyta; Magnoliopsida; Rosales; Rosaceae. The transcript has 2 exons. The record is from RefSeq and is a predicted model, not a curated record.
AACGCUUGACCUAUUUCUCUAGCUCGACGACCCGCGACAGCGGACCACCCUUGCUUGAAUCCUUUUUCCAGCGCCGAUGUGCUUGUAGUCAUGGAUCGUCCAUGCAUGAAGCGAGAAGAGAGAAUCGAAGCCCGGAAGCUUCAAGUCUUCCGGCUGUUCCAACGCAUUUUCCGGCUAUCAUCGGGGUUGCAUGAGGUACCGAAAUUGAUCCUCUCGUUGUGCUCUACUUUCCUGUGUAAUUAGUUUUUGGCGUUGAUCGAUUUUUGUUGAUUUUCAUUUCUGGGUUAUUCCGGCCAUUUUGAGACAUUUUCCGGCAACUCCGGUGGCGGUCUGGCUUUCCUGGCAUGCGGAAGUUGGCCUACUUCUCGUCCUCUACACACUUGAAAUUGGUGAAGUAGUGGAAAGGGAGAGCAAAGGGAGUGUCUGUCAAGAUUGCCGUGUUCUUCAUCAAGCGCUUUGACUUGCCAACUCGGACUCUGCUUUUGAUUGUAUUUGCUAUCAAGGUUAGUUGGGUUCAGUUCGAAGUUCUGAGCACUGCCUUCUAUAAUUGAUUUCAUGCUUACUGCAUGUCGUGUUAUGAGAACGGUGAUUGGGACUUGGUUCA